UACGGGGGGGGCAAGCGUUGUUCGGAAUUACUGGGCGUAAAGGGCUCGUAGGUGGCCAACUAAGUCAGACGUGAAAUCCCUCGGCUUAACCGGGGAACUGCGUCUGAUACUGGAUGGCUUGAGUUUGGGAGAGGGACGCGGAAUUCCAGGUGUAGCGGUGAAAUGCGUAGAUAUCUGGAGGAACACCGGUGGCGAAGGCGGCCACCUGGACGGAUACUGACGCUGAGACGCGAAAGCGUGGGUAGCAAACAGG
RNAcentral lists this ribosomal RNA (253 nucleotides) under uncultured bacterium. RNAcentral describes it as "partial 16S ribosomal RNA". It matches the Rfam family "Bacterial small subunit ribosomal RNA", at positions 524 to 776 of the family's 1533-position model. The record is from RNAcentral.